Equus asinus (donkey) is the source of this 178-nucleotide small nuclear RNA. Its record names the gene U2. It matches the Rfam family "U2 spliceosomal RNA". Rfam says of the family: U2 is a small nuclear RNA (snRNA) component of the spliceosome (involved in pre-mRNA splicing). NCBI's taxonomy places the organism in Eukaryota, Metazoa, Chordata, Mammalia, Perissodactyla, Equidae. The record is from Ensembl.
ACUCCAUCCAUGUGUUAAAACUCAUGGAACUGCUUAUCAGAUUAAUAUCUGACACAUCUUCUAUCUGAGGACAAUAGAUUAAAUGGAUUUUUGGAGCCUGGAGUUGGACCAGGAGCUUGCUCCCUCUGCCCCAUGCAGUGGCCUGGAAUGCAGUACUUCCAGGACCAGUGCACCCCUC